This 208-nucleotide small nucleolar RNA is filed under the name Zootermopsis nevadensis. RNAcentral describes it as "small nucleolar RNA SNORA73 family". Lineage: Eukaryota; Metazoa; Arthropoda; Insecta; Blattodea; Termopsidae. The record is from RNAcentral.
CCGAUACAUGGGCUUAUGCUCCUGGUUUACCAUUGAGCAGAAUGUCCAUAGCAACGUGGGAGCUGCCCAUCAUGCAGUAUGGUCCUUGUUGCAGUAUCGGAGAGCAGCUCUGCCGCUUAGGUAGGUGUGUGGAGGAAUGGCAUAUUCCAUGACCUUUCUGUAGUCCAUUGGGCGAUGAUAUAAAAGAAAAACCAUGCCAGUUACAUGA